RNAcentral lists this ribosomal RNA (443 nucleotides) under uncultured bacterium. RNAcentral describes it as "partial 16S ribosomal RNA". It matches the Rfam family "Bacterial small subunit ribosomal RNA", at positions 338 to 795 of the family's 1533-position model. The record is from RNAcentral.
CCUACGGGAGGCAGCAGUGGGGAAUAUUGGGCAAUGGGCGCAAGCCUGACCCAGCAACGCCGCGUGAAGGAAGAAGGCUUUCGGGUUGUAAACUUCUUUUCUCAGGGACGAAGCAAGUGGCGGUACCUGAGGAAUAAGCCACGGCUAACUACGUGCCAGCAGCCGCGGUAAUACGUAGGUGGCAAGCGUUAUCCGGAUUUACUGGGUGUAAAGGGCGUGUAGGCGGGAAAGCAAGUCAGAUGUGAAAACCAUGGGCUCAACCUGUGGCCUGCCUUUGAAACUGGUUUUCUUGAGUACUGGGGAGGCAGGCGGAAUUCCUGGUGUAGCGGUGAAAUGCGUAGAUAUUAGGAGGAACCCCAGUGGCGAAGGCGGUCUGCUGGACAGCAACUGACGCUGAGGCGCGAAAGCGUGGGGAGCAAACAGGAUUAGAUACCCGGGUAGUC